Rhodamnia argentea is the source of this 306-nucleotide long non-coding RNA. RefSeq lists it as uncharacterized. The record is from RefSeq and is a predicted model, not a curated record. The transcript has 4 exons. Lineage: Eukaryota; Viridiplantae; Streptophyta; Magnoliopsida; Myrtales; Myrtaceae.
GGAAGUCACUGAAGGUGCUCCAGAUUGUUUAGUAGGUUUAACUUUUGUAAUUAGUGGAACACUUGAUAGUUUGGAGAGAGAAGAAGCAGAAGAUCUAAUUAAACGACAUGGAGGUCGUGUAACCGGAUCGAUCAACAAGAAGAUGAAUUACCUGUUAUGUGAUGAAGAUAUUGGAGGACGGAAAUCUGCGAAAGCGAAAGAGCUCGAAACAACUUUUAUUACGGAGGAUGGUUUGUUUGAUUUGAUCCGGUCAUCAAUUCGUACAAAAACACCCGUUCAAGAGAAGUCCAAGAGUACAGAGAAAGC